UCUAAUCGCUUAACUAUUAGGCUUCCAGGGGAUACUGUUAGACUUGGGACCGGGAGAGGUAAGAGGUACUGCAGGGGUAGGAGUGAAAUCUUGUAAUCCCUGUGAGACCACCAGUGGCGAAGGCGUCUUACCAGAACGGGUCCGACGGUGAGGGACGAAAGCUGGGGGCACGAACCGGAUUAGAUACCCGGGUAGUCCCAGCUGUAAACGAUGCUCGUUAGGUGUCAGGAACGGUGCGACUGUUUCUGGUGCCGAAGGGAAGCCGUGAAACGAGCCACCUGGGAAGUACGGCCGCAAGGCUGAAACUUAAAGGAAUUGGCGGGGGAGCACUACAACGGGUGGAGCCUGCGGUUUAAUUGGACUCAACGCCGGAAAACUCACCGGGGGCGACAGCAAUAUGUAGGUCAGGUUAAAGGUCUUACCUGAAUCGCUGAGAGGAGGUGCAUGGCCGUCGUCAGUUCGUACUGUGAAGCAUCCUGUUAAGUCAGGCAACGAGCAAGACCCGUGCCCACUGUUACCAGCAUAUCCUUUAUGGAUGAUGGGGACUCUGUGGGGACCGCUGCUGCUAAAGCAGAGGAAGGUGCGGGCUACGGUAGGUCAGUAUGCCCCGAAUCUCCCGGGCUACACGCGGGCUACAAUGGUUGGGACAAUGGGUAUCUACUCCGAAAGGAGUUGGCAAUCUCUUAAACCCAAUCGUAGUUCGAAUUGAGGGCUGUAACUCGCCACUCAUGAAGCU
RNAcentral lists this ribosomal RNA (736 nucleotides) under uncultured archaeon. Its description in RNAcentral is "bacterial SSU rRNA". It matches the Rfam family "Archaeal small subunit ribosomal RNA", at positions 550 to 1283 of the family's 1478-position model. The record is from RNAcentral.